UACGUAGGGUCGACACGUUGUCCGGAAUUAUUGGGCGUAAAGAGCUCGUAGGCGGUUUGUCGCGUCUGCCGUGAAAGUCCGGGGCUCAACUCCGGAUCUGCGGUGGGUACGGGCAGACUAGAGUGAUGUAGGGGAGACUGGAAUUCCUGGUGUAGCGGUGAAAUGCGCAGAUAUCAGGAGGAAUACCGAUGGCGAAGGCAGGUCUCUGGGCUGACACUGACGCUCAUGCACGAAAGCGUGGGGAGCAAACAGG
RNAcentral lists this ribosomal RNA (253 nucleotides) under uncultured bacterium. Its description in RNAcentral is "partial 16S ribosomal RNA". It matches the Rfam family "Bacterial small subunit ribosomal RNA", at positions 524 to 776 of the family's 1533-position model. The record is from RNAcentral.